RNAcentral lists this ribosomal RNA (417 nucleotides) under uncultured Inocybe. Its description in RNAcentral is "eukaryotic LSU rRNA". It matches the Rfam family "Eukaryotic large subunit ribosomal RNA", at positions 1 to 409 of the family's 3401-position model. The record is from RNAcentral. Lineage: Eukaryota; Fungi; Basidiomycota; Agaricomycetes; Agaricales; Cortinariaceae.
UUGACCUCAAAUCAGGUAGGACUACCCGCUGAACUUAAGCAUAUCAAUAAGCGGAGGAAAAGAAACUAACAAGGAUUCCCCUAGUAACUGCGAGUGAAGCGGGAAAAGCUCAAAUUUGAAAUCUGGCGGUUCUUGGACUGUCCGAGUUGUAAUCUAGAGAAGUGUUACCUGUGCUGGACCGUGUACAAGUCUCCUGGAAUGGAGCAUCAUAGAGGGUGAGAAUCCCGUCUUUGACAUGGACUACCUGUACGAUAUGGUGCGCUCUCAAAGAGUCGAGUUGUUUGGGAAUGCAGCUCAAAAUGGGUGGUAAAUGCCAUCUAAAGCUAAAUAUUGGCGAGAGACCGAUAGCGAACCAGUACCGUGAGGGAAAGAUGAAAAGAACNUUGGAAAGAGAGUUAAACAGUACGUGAAAUUGCU